This 769-nucleotide long non-coding RNA is filed under the name Phasianus colchicus (ring-necked pheasant). RNAcentral describes it as "lncRNA (ENSPCLG00000000970.1)". The record is from RNAcentral. Lineage: Eukaryota; Metazoa; Chordata; Aves; Galliformes; Phasianidae.
AGAGCUCAUCACACUGAGAUGUGGCCAGGACUUCACUGAGUCAUAGAAACAUAGAAUUGUCAUAGAACUAUUUCUCUUAGAAGGGACCCUUAAAGACCAUCUGGUCCAACCCCCUGCAGUGAACAGGGACACCCACAGCUCCAUCAGGUGCUCACAACCCUGUCCAGCCUGAUCUUGGGUGUCUCCAGGGAUGGGGCAUCCACCGCCUCUUUGGGUAGCCUGUGCUUCAUCACACUUAUUGUAAAAAACUUCUUCCUUACCAUGCAGUCUUAAUCUCCCCUCCUUUAGUUUGCGACCAUUUCUCCUUAUCCUGUCACAGAGACCCUGCUGAAGAGUCUGUCCCCUUCCUUCUUACAGCCCCUUUAGAUACUGAAAGCUGCUAUCAGGUCUCCCCGGAGACAUCUCCAGGAAUCUUUUAUUUUUAUUAAAACAACUUACUCCCUAUAUUAUUUGACCCUGCAGUGUGACAGUGCCCAAUCCAUGGCAGAACUCAGGCUGUAAGGUGUUUGCUGUGGGGUAAUGAUAUCAAGUUGGCCUACGGGCAGACAACCUUAUGGAGAGCUCACAUUGCACAGGAAUUGCAAGCUACAGACUGGAACAACAGAGAGCUGCAAAGCACACCUGCCCAUGGAUUAUGGAAGUGACUUCAUGCUAUCUGUCCAGAAGAAAUAAAGUUGCAGUGAGCAAAGGAAGGCAGGAGUGGACACUCAUUCAUUGUCUCAGGCCAUCGUUUGUGUACUGGAAAGGCUUUAUUUCCCUAAGAUGAGGA